Molecule: long non-coding RNA, 578 nt
Organism: Gastrolobium bilobum
Lineage: Eukaryota; Viridiplantae; Streptophyta; Magnoliopsida; Fabales; Fabaceae
Exons: 4
Source: RefSeq, a predicted model, not a curated record
GGAAGAGACUCACCUUUACUGUUAUAAAGGUUCCUAGUUCCUAACUUGCUUUUCUAGAAUUGAGAUGAAGACCUUGCUGUGCAAAUUGGAAAGGAUAUAUAUAUUGAUCUCGUAGACCAUGACAAAGUGAGGAGUUUCCGUGUCCUAAAACAGAGGUCUUUUAACCUUUUCAAGGAAGAGGUUGCUAAAGAGUUUGGCAUAUCAGUUGAAUUCCAGCGCUUUUGGCUAUGGACAAAGCGUAAAAACUAUACAUAUCAUCCUAAUCGACCAUUGACACACAUUGAGGAUGCACAACCUUUAUGUUGGAAGGCUUUUUGUGAAGAGUACUGGUACUGCAAUUGAUCAAAGAAUUGCUUACUUUCUUAUGCUGGUGGCGCUGGCAAUUACAUACAUGUUCCAUUGAUACCAUGUAAAGGCUAUAUAAACACAGCAAUACUCCAAUGUACUUUAUAUUGUAUCAAACAGCUUGGAAGUGCGACAAAACUAUCACAAAUUUUUUUUUGCUAUUCUUUCAUUCCUUUUUUGGCAUCUUAUUAUUGAGGAGUGGUUCAACAUCACACAAGCUCAUAAGUGUACAA